Molecule: non-coding RNA, 29 nt
Filed under: Mus musculus (house mouse)
Lineage: Eukaryota; Metazoa; Chordata; Mammalia; Rodentia; Muridae
Source: RNAcentral
UAAAACGUGUGUGCUCUGAUCAGUUUCCA